AUUGAACGCUGGCGGCAUGCCUUACACAUGCAAGUCGAACGGUAACAGGUCUUCGGAUGCUGACGAGUGGCGAACGGGUGAGUAAUACAUCGGAAACGUGCCCGAGAGUGGGGGAUAACGCAGCGAAAGCUGUGCUAAUACCGCAUACGAUCUACGGAUGAAAGCAGGGGAUUCGCAAGGACCUUGCGCUCAUGGAGCGGCCGAUGGCAGAUUAGGUAGUUGGUGGGAUAAAAGCUUACCAAGCCGACGAUCUGUAGCUGGUCUGAGAGGACGACCAGCCACACUGGGACUGAGACACGGCCCAGACUCCUACGGGAGGCAGCAGUGGGGAAUUUUGGACAAUGGGGGAAACCCUGAUCCAGCCAUGCCGCGUGCAGGAUGAAGGCCUCGGGUUGUAACUAGCUUUGUACGGUAACGAAAAGGUACGUUUUCUUAAUUAAAGAAAGGACCCGACUGACGGUACCGUAAGAAUAAGACACCGGCGUAACUACGUGCCAGCAGCCGCGGUAAACCG
RNAcentral lists this ribosomal RNA (514 nucleotides) under uncultured bacterium. RNAcentral describes it as "bacterial SSU rRNA". It matches the Rfam family "Bacterial small subunit ribosomal RNA", at positions 30 to 527 of the family's 1533-position model. The record is from RNAcentral.